Molecule: ribosomal RNA, 253 nt
Filed under: uncultured bacterium
Lineage: Bacteria
Description: partial 16S ribosomal RNA
Rfam family: Bacterial small subunit ribosomal RNA
Source: RNAcentral
UACGUAGGGGGCAAGCGUUGUCCGGAAUCAUUGGGCGUAAAGCGCGUGUAGGCGGCCAGAAAAGUCCGCUGUGAAAACUCGAGGCUCAACUUCGAGCUGUCGGUGGAAACUUUCUGGCUAGAGUCCGGAAGAGGAGACUGGAAUUCCUGGUGUAGCGGUGAAAUGCGCAGAUAUCAGGAGGAACACCGAUGGCGAAGGCAGGUCUCUGGGCAUUAACUGACGCUGAGGAGCGAAAGCAUGGGGAGCGAACAGG